RNAcentral lists this ribosomal RNA (472 nucleotides) under uncultured bacterium. Its description in RNAcentral is "partial 16S ribosomal RNA". It matches the Rfam family "Bacterial small subunit ribosomal RNA", at positions 28 to 507 of the family's 1533-position model. The record is from RNAcentral.
GACGAACGCUGGCGGCGUGCUUAACGCAUGCAAGUCGAGCGGAAAGGCCCUUCGGGGUCCUCGAGCGGCGAACGGGUGAGUAACACGUGAGUAAUCUGCCCUUGGCUUUGGGAUAGCUACCGGAAACGGUGGCUAAUACCGGAUACGACAACCGUCUGCAUGGGCUGGUUGUGGAAAGUUUUUUCGGCCAGGGAUGUGCUCGCGGCCUAUCAGCUUGUUGGUGGGGUAAUGGCCUACCAAGGCUUCGACGGGUAGCCGGCCUGAGAGGGUGACCGGCCACACUGGGACUGAGACACGGCCCAGACUCCUACGGGAGGCAGCAGUGGGGAAUAUUGGACAAUGGGCGGAAGCCUGAUCCAGCAACGCCGCGUGAGGGAUGACGGCCUUCGGGUUGUAAACCUCUUUCAGUACCGACGAAGCGCCGAUGAUGGUGGUGACGGUAGGUACAGAAGAAGCACCGGCCAACUACGUG